This 1585-nucleotide ribosomal RNA is filed under the name Pristimantis buckleyi (Buckley's robber frog). RNAcentral describes it as "16S ribosomal RNA". It matches the Rfam family "Bacterial large subunit ribosomal RNA", at positions 379 to 2925 of the family's 2925-position model. The record is from RNAcentral. Lineage: Eukaryota; Metazoa; Chordata; Amphibia; Anura; Strabomantidae.
CCAAAAAUCUAGCCUUCUUUCCCCCCCCCCCCCUUUUUUUAAACCCAAAACAAAAUAUUUUAACAGUUUAGUAGAGAAGAUUAAAAAACUUUUAAGAGCUAUAAACAUGUACCGUAAGGGAAAGAUGAAAUAAAAAUGAAAUAAAUUUUACGCACAAAGAAUUAGAGACUAACCCUCGUACCUUUUGCAUCAUGGUUUAGCUAGUCUAAUUAGGCAAAAAGCCCCUUAAGUCUAACCCCCCGAAACUAAGUGAGCUAACUUAGGACCGCUUAAUGAGCUAACCCGUCUAUGUUGAAAAAUAGUGGGAAGAUCCUAAGAUAGAGGUGAAAAACCUAACGAACUUAGUUAUAGCUGGUUUCUCAAUAAAAGAAUUUUAGUCCAACCUAAAGCAACAGAUAUACACAUAAAUUAACUACCUCACUUUAGAGCAAUUCAAAUAAGGUACAGCCUAUUUGAUACAGGACCCAACCUUAAUUAACGGGUAAUACUCGAUUUACAUUUAUAAGUAGGCCUAAGAGCAGCCAUCUUUUUAAAAGCGUCAUAGCUUAAUCAUGUUAUCCCAAUCCCUCAACCCCACUCGACCCCUUUAAUUGUACUGAGAACUUCUAUAAGAUUAUAGAACUUUUCAUGCUAAAACUAGUAACAAGAGGUAAUCCCUCUCUAUAAUGCAAGUAUAACCCAGCAAGAACCCACCACUGGCAACUAACAGAUAUAAACAAAAGUAGCAACCCAUCUAGAAAACCCUACUUAUAUUACUGUUAAUCUAAUACUAGAGCAUUUCAAGAAAGAUUAAAAGAAAAAGAAGGAAUUCGGCAAAUAUUAGCCCCGCCUGUUUACCAAAAACAUCGCCUCUUGCCAUCAUAAGAGGUCUAGCCUGCCCAGUGACUUCUGUUCAACGGCCGCGGUAUCCUAACCGUGCGAAGGUAGCGUAAUCACUUGUUUCCUAAAUAGAGACCAGUAUGAAAGGCAUCACGAGGACUAAACUGUCUCCUUUCUCUAAUCAGUGAACCUAAUCUCCCCGUGAAGAAGCGGGGAUUUUUUUAUAAGACGAGAAGACCCUAUGGAGCUUAAAACAUCACACACCUGUCACUCUAUUUAAAAUACCCCGAUAUUCCCUCCCCCGUGACACACUGACUAUAUGUUUUUGGUUGGGGUGACCGCGGAGAAAAAUUUAUCCUCCACAAUGAAAGGGAUCUUCCCUGAACAGUAAGCUACAACUUUAUGUACCGGUAAACUGACAUCCAUUGACCCAAUAUAUUGAUUAACGAACCAAGUUACCCUAGGGAUAACAGCGCAAUCCACUUUGAGAGCCCCUAUCGACAAGUGGGCUUACGACCUCGAUGUUGGAUCGGGGUAUCCUAGUGGUGCAGCCGCUACUAAAGGUUCGUUUGUUCAACGAUUAAAACCCCACGUGAUCUGAGUUCAGAUCCGGAGUAAUCCAGGUCAGUUUCUAUCUAUAACAGAGCUUUUUUUAGUACGAAAGGACCAAAAUAGCAGGGCCAAUGUCUAUACAAGCCAUAGUUAAUUAUUUUUGAACUCCCCCUCAAAAAAUUAUCAACCUAUAACCCCCCUCAAGAAAAGAAUA